GUCGUAUGGUACAGGGUGGACCUGCAACUCCCCUCCCUCCUCUGGACCUCAGCAUCCUUCUGUGGGAGGUGAGUCUGUCCAAGCUGUCUUCCCAGGACCCUAACGGUCUGCGAUAAACUGAAGGAGCCUCCGAACAGAGCAAGGAGAGCCUGCAAACAUUUGCUUCUGUGCAGGGGCCCACCCGGGACCUAAGUGGACAUAAAGUUGUAAUUUCUUGCAACUUAAUUAUUUUAUAGAAUUUUAGAACUGGCAGAUAUCUCAGAGAUCAUGUACAUUGCACCCUUGACUUUUUACACAUGAAAGAACAGAGGGCUACAUCGGUUAUGUGGCUCAUAAGAGGCCAGAGAAGCCAUCGGCAGUGGUGAGAGCCUGGAUAUGCAAAUGGACAACAGCCAGACCAGUUGUGGACACAGAGCCUGGAGAUACAAGCUGUAGCCACCAGCCCAGACCAGUUGUGGACACAGAGCCUGGAGAUACAAGCUGUAGCCACCAGCCCAGGAGCUGGCCCACUGUCUAUAAGCCAGGAGCACAGGAAGUGAGGCCACUGUCUCCACAGCAACCAGCCCAGGAGCCAGCCUGCUAUCUACAAGCCAGGCUUGUGAGAAGUGAGGCCACUGUCUCCACAGCAACCAGCCCCGCUAUUUACAGCCCAGUGCUCACUGUCCCUAGCCUGGUCUUGAGUUGUUCCCACAGCAGUGAAGCCGGGAUUAGAUGUCAGGCCUCUGGGUCCUUCCCCAAGCUCUCUCCAUAGCCACACUGCCCAGAAGGAAAAUAUGGGUAGUUCCGACAAGUAAGUCGUGGCUGCUGUUUGCUAGCGACUGGGCCUCUGAGGGCCGCUGGGAGGCCCCCAGCAGUUCUCGCGACGUUCCUUUGGAGACAUGCAUUCUAAGGCCCAGACAAUCCGUUGACCACUAGACUUUGAGAAUUGUUUUCCCUAACGUGGCACUAGCCGGCUGCAUGAACCCAUAGUCACCUGCCUCUAUGUUGGAGUCACAUCUCUUACUUGCUGUCACACAGAUUUUACUUUACAAUUCUUCUCUAAAAUGGGCCCCACUCCCCCCACCUCUGCACAGUCUGGGUUUGGCCUCCCAGUUCUCUCAUGGAGGCUGAGACGUCUCAAGAGCGUUUCUGUACUCCAGCUGCGCGUCCCCAGGCACGAGCGCUCGUUAAUUUCCCUGAGAUGCCGUGCCUAGUUUGAAUAUUUUUUCAGUCACUGUGCAGCGUGACAGUCAAAAACACAACUGACUCAACUAAGUCAGAUGGGUACAGAAACCCUUCGCAUCAUUUUAAUAUUAAAAUUCCCCCAGGUUUACAAUGUGGUCCAUUGAAAAAAGGGUUUAAAGACAUAAUGCAGUUUACAAUCCUAAACCCAA
Molecule: long non-coding RNA, 1373 nt
Filed under: Homo sapiens (human)
Lineage: Eukaryota; Metazoa; Chordata; Mammalia; Primates; Hominidae
Description: HSALNT0131314
Source: RNAcentral